AUGCAUUGGAAAAAGUGGCAGGACAUAGCUAUCCCAAAAUGUGAGGGGGGAAUGGGCUUCAGAGAUUUUGGCCUCUUUAAUCAAGCCAUGUUGGCUAAACAAGGGUGGCGACUUCUGACCAACCCUGAAUCACUUUGUGCAAAGGUGCUUAAAGGCCGAUAUUAUCAUGAUUCAGAUUUCUUGGCAGCUAAAAAAAAGAGGAACUCCUCUCAUACUUGGAGGGCAAUACUACAUGGGAGAGAAUGCCUAAAUCUAGGGCUGAUUAAACGUGUUGGGGAUGGUGCGAGUAUUAACAUCUGGGAGGACCCUUGGAUUCCCUCCAAUCAUGGCUAUCGGCCAAUUAUUCGGUUACCAGGGGCUGCAUGCACCAAGGUGGAGGAGCUUAUUGAUCAUGUGAAUAAUAGUUGGGAUCUUGCUGCCUUGGAAGCAAACUUUGUUGCACCUGAUGUGCAUGCCAUUGCUAAAACCCAUAGGGAAUUGGGGUGA
This 486-nucleotide ribosomal RNA is filed under the name Triticum aestivum (bread wheat). RNAcentral's name for it is "partial small subunit ribosomal RNA". Lineage: Eukaryota; Viridiplantae; Streptophyta; Magnoliopsida; Poales; Poaceae. The record is from RNAcentral.